AUACGUAGGUGGCAAGCGUUGUCCGGAAUUAUUGGGCGUAAAGCGCGCGCAGGCGGUCCUUUAAGUCUGAUGUGAAAUCUUGCGGCUUAACCGCAAGUGGUCAUUGGAAGCUGGGGGACUUGAGUACAGAAGAGGAGAGUGGAAUUCCACGUGUAGCGGUGAAAUGCGUAGAGAUGUGGAGGAACACCAGUGGCGAAGGCGGCUCUCUGGUCUGUCACUGACGCUGAGGCGCGAAAGCGUGGGUAGCGAACAGGAUUAGAUACCCUGGUAGUCCACGCCGUAAACGAUGAGUGCUAGGUGUUGGGGGUAUCCACCCUCAGUGCUGAAGUUAACACAUUAAGCACUCCGCCUGGGGAGUACGGCCGCAAGGCUGAA
RNAcentral lists this ribosomal RNA (375 nucleotides) under uncultured bacterium. RNAcentral's name for it is "bacterial SSU rRNA". It matches the Rfam family "Bacterial small subunit ribosomal RNA", at positions 523 to 898 of the family's 1533-position model. The record is from RNAcentral.